This 497-nucleotide ribosomal RNA is filed under the name uncultured bacterium. RNAcentral describes it as "partial 16S ribosomal RNA". It matches the Rfam family "Bacterial small subunit ribosomal RNA", at positions 27 to 507 of the family's 1533-position model. The record is from RNAcentral.
GGGGGGGGGGGGGGGGGGGCGGGGGGGGGGGGGGGGGGGCGGGGGGGCGAGGAGCGGGGGGGUCUGAUGUGAGGGGCGGACGGGUGAGUAACACGUGGCUAACCUACCUAUAAGACUGGGAUCACUUCGGGACACCGGCGCUAAUGCCGGCUGAUAUUUUGAACCGCAUGGUUCCAAAGUGAAAGACGGUCUUGCUGUCGCUUCUCGAUGGAUCCGCGCUGCAUUAGCUAGUUGGUAAGGUAACGGCUUACCAAGGCAACGAUGCAUAGCCGACCUGAGAGGGUGAUCGGCCAAACUGGAACUGAGACACGGUCCAGACUCCUACGGGAGGCAGCAGUAGGGAAUCUUCCGCAAUGGGCGAAAGCCUGACGGAGCAACGCCGCGUGAGUGAUGAAGGUCUUCGGAUCGUAAAACUCUGUUAUUAGGGAAGAACAUAUGUGUAAGUAACUGUGCACAUCUUGACGGUACCUAAUCAGAAAGCCACGGCUAACUACGUG